GUGCCAGCAGCCGCGGUAACACGGGGGGAGCAAGCGUUGUUCGGAAUUACUGGGCGUAAAGCGCGUGUAGGCGGUCAGGUAAGUGAGAUGUGAAAUGCCCCGGCUCACCCGGGGACCUGCAUUUCAUACUGCUUGGCUUGAGUACGGGAGAGGAUGAGGGAAUUCCUGGUGUAGCGGUGAAAUGCGUAGAUAUCAGGAGGAACACCGGUGGCGAAAGCGCUCAUCUGGCCCGAUACUGACGCUGCAGCGCGAAAGCUAGGGGAGCAAACGGGAUUAGAUACCCUCGUAGUCC
Molecule: ribosomal RNA, 292 nt
Filed under: uncultured bacterium
Lineage: Bacteria
Description: partial 16S ribosomal RNA
Rfam family: Bacterial small subunit ribosomal RNA
Source: RNAcentral